UUAAAGGUUUUUUUAAAAACCCCCGUUUUUUAAAAAAAAACCGUUA
Trametes cinnabarina is the source of this 46-nucleotide non-coding RNA. NCBI's taxonomy places the organism in Eukaryota, Fungi, Basidiomycota, Agaricomycetes, Polyporales, Polyporaceae. The record is from Rfam.